RNAcentral lists this unclassified non-coding RNA (279 nucleotides) under plant metagenome. Its description in RNAcentral is "partial contains small subunit ribosomal RNA, internal transcribed spacer 1, and 5.8S ribosomal RNA". The record is from RNAcentral.
UCUCCGUAGGUGAACCUGCGGAGGGAUCAUUACCGAGUUCUCGCCCUCGCGGGUACAUCUCCCACCCACUUUUAUCGUUACUGUCGUUUCUUUCGCUGGCCGCCGGGUCCCCCGCCGCCGGCCUCUAAUAGGCGGCGCCCGCCCUCCAUAGGCCUUCGCCCCCUGCCUGUUAGUCUCGUCUGAGUACUCUCUCAUAGUUAAAACUUUCAACCACGGAUCCCUUGUUUCCGGCAUCGGUGCAGAACGCCGCAGAUCGGAAUACCACACCUGAACUCCAGC